GAACCCCCACCAACGAAAGAGGUUCCCUGAAGAACCCCCACCAACUAAAGAGGUUCCUUGAAGAACCCCCACCAACUAAAGAGGUUCCUUGAAUAACCCCCACCAACUAAAGAGGUUCCCUGAAGAACCCCCACCAACUAAAGAGGUUCCCUGAAGAACCCCCACCAACUAAAGAGGUUCCCUGAAGAACCCCCACCAACUAAAGAGGUUCCUUGAAGAACCCCCACCAACUAAAGAGGUUCCCUGAAGAACCCCCACCAACUAAAGAGGUUCCCUGAAGAACCCCCACCAACUAAAGAGGUUCCCUGAAGAACCCCCACCAACUAAAGAGGUUCCCUGAAGAACCCCCACCAACUAAAGAGGUUCCCUGAAGAACCCCCACCAACUAAAGAGGUUCCCUGAAGAACCCCCACCAACUAAAGAGGUUCCCUGAAGAACCCCCACCAACUAAAGAGGUUCCCUGAAGAACCCCCACCAACUAAAGAGGUUCCCUGAAGAAUGACACUUUCCAUGGGGUUCUUGGAAGAACCUUUUGGGUGCAUUUUUCUGAGAGAUUUGGAUAUAAUUUGUCCCCUGAAGUUGUGUAGCUCUAAUUAAACCAAGGACUUGACAAACUGUAUUUCAUGUCCCCAAUCCUGUUCUGUCCUCCCUGAGUCAGGUCUUAGACAGGGACAUGGGUGGAUCAAUUCUGUUCUGUCCUCCCUGAGUC
Molecule: long non-coding RNA, 709 nt
Organism: Oncorhynchus keta (chum salmon)
Lineage: Eukaryota; Metazoa; Chordata; Actinopteri; Salmoniformes; Salmonidae
Exons: 3
Source: RefSeq, a predicted model, not a curated record